UGGAAUGUAGCCAAGCGGAAAGGCAAUAGACUUUGACUCUAUCAUGCGAUGGUUCGAUCCCAUCCAUUCCAGCCA
RNAcentral lists this transfer RNA (75 nucleotides) under Mycoplasmoides gallisepticum. RNAcentral describes it as "tRNA-Gln". It matches the Rfam family "tRNA". Rfam says of the family: Transfer RNA (tRNA) molecules are approximately 80 nucleotides in length. Their secondary structure includes four short double-helical elements and three loops (D, anti-codon, and T loops). The record is from RNAcentral. Lineage: Bacteria; Bacillati; Mycoplasmatota; Mycoplasmoidales; Mycoplasmoidaceae. RNAcentral also lists the same sequence under 15 other names.